This 835-nucleotide ribosomal RNA is filed under the name uncultured bacterium. RNAcentral's name for it is "bacterial SSU rRNA". It matches the Rfam family "Bacterial small subunit ribosomal RNA", at positions 60 to 901 of the family's 1533-position model. The record is from RNAcentral.
AGUCGAACGGACUUAAUCGAAAUAUUUAUAUUUUGAAGCGGUUAGUGGCGGACUGGUGAGUAACGCGUAAGGAACCUGCCUAUUAGAGGGGAAUAACAGUGAGAAAUCAUUGCUAAUACCGCAUAUGCCAUAGAUAUCACAUGAUAACAGUGGGAAAGGAGCAAUCCGCUAAUAGAUGGCCUUGCGUCUGAUUAGAUAGUUGGUGGGGUAACGGCCUACCAAGUCGACGAUCAGUAGCCGGACUGAGAGGUUGAACGGCCACAUUGGGACUGAGAUACGGCCCAGACUCCUACGGGAGGCAGCAGUCGGGAAUAUUGCGCAAUGGAGGAAACUCUGACGCAGUGACGCCGCGUAUAGGAAGAAGGUUUUCGGAUUGUAAACUAUUGUCGUUAGGGAAGAGAAAGGACAGUACCUAAGGAGGAAGCUCCGGCUAACUACGUGCCAGCAGCCGCGGUAAUACGUAGGGAGCGAGCGUUAUCCGGAAUUAUUGGGUGUAAAGGGUGCGUAGACGGGAGAACAAGUUAGUUGUGAAAUACCUCGGCUCAACUGAGGAACUGCAACUAAAACUGUACUUCUUGAGUGCAGGAGAGGUAAGUGGAAUUCCUAGUGUAGCGGUGAAAUGCGUAGAUAUUAGGAGGAACACCAGUGGCGAAGGCGACUUACUGGACUGUAACUGACGUUGAGGCACGAAAGUGUGGGGAGCAAACAGGAUUAGAUACCCUGGUAGUCCACACCGUAAACGAUGGAUACUAGGUGUAGGAGGUAUUAAGCCUUCUGUGCCGUCGCAAACGCAGUAAGUAUCCCACCUGGGGAGUACGGCCGCAAGGUUGAAACU